CUUCGGAGAAGAGCGGCGGACGGGUGAGUAACGCGUGGGUAACCUGCCUCAUACACAUGAAUAACAUACCGAAAGGUAUGCUAAUACAGGAUAACGUAAGAGAUUCGCAUGUUUCUCUUAUCAAAGCUCUGGCGGUAUGAGAUGGACCCGCGUCUGAUUAGCUAGUUGGUAAGGUAAUGGCUUACCAAGGCGACGAUCAGUAGCCGACCUGAGAGGGUGAUCGGCCACAUUGGAACUGAGACACGGUCCAAACUCCUACGGGAGGCAGCAGUGGGGAAUAUUGCACAAUGGGCGAAAGCCUGAUGCAGCAACGCCGCGUGAGUGAUGAAGGCCUUCGGGUCGUAAAACUCUGUCCUCAAGGAAGAUAAUGACGGUACUUGAGGAGGAAGCCCCGGCUAACUACGUGCCAGCAGCCGCGGUAAUACGUAGGGGGCUAGCGUUAUCCGGAUUUACUGGGCGUAAAGGGUGCGUAGGUGGUUUCUUAAGUCAGGAGUGAAAGGCUACGGCUUAACCGUAGUAAGCUCUUGAAACUGGGGAACUUGAGUGCAGGAGAGGAAAGUGGAAU
This 565-nucleotide ribosomal RNA is filed under the name uncultured Clostridium sp. RNAcentral's name for it is "bacterial SSU rRNA". It matches the Rfam family "Bacterial small subunit ribosomal RNA", at positions 83 to 667 of the family's 1533-position model. The record is from RNAcentral. Lineage: Bacteria; Bacillati; Bacillota; Clostridia; Eubacteriales; Clostridiaceae.